AGCCUUUGUGUUGCCCAUUCACUUUUGCAAAUUAGUGACUGUGGUGUCAAAAAAGGCAUAAACCAAACACUUUUGCAGUCUUUUCCUGCCCUUGUAUUUGAAAUCUUUGGAGUAGGAGCUGCAUAAGUAAUAGCU
Molecule: small nucleolar RNA, 135 nt
Organism: Cervus hanglu yarkandensis (Yarkand deer)
Lineage: Eukaryota; Metazoa; Chordata; Mammalia; Artiodactyla; Cervidae
Source: Ensembl